AUUGAACGCUGGCGGCAGGCCUAACACAUGCAAGUCGAGCGGUAGCACAGAGAGCUUGCUCUCGGGUGACGAGCGGCGGACGGGUGAGUAAUGUCUGGGAAACUGCCCGAUGGAGGGGGAUAACUACUGGAAACGGUAGCUAAUACCGCAUAACGUCGCAAGACCAAAGAGGGGGACCUUCGGGCCUCUUGCCAUCGGAUGUGCCCAGAUGGGAUUAGCUAGUAGGUGGGGUAACGGCUCACCUAGGCGACGAUCCCUAGCUGGUCUGAGAGGAUGACCAGCCACACUGGAACUGAGACACGGUCCAGACUCCUACGGGAGGCAGCAGUGGGGAAUAUUGCACAAUGGGCGCAAGCCUGAUGCAGCCAUGCCGCGUGUAUGAAGAAGGCCUUCGGGUUGUAAAGCACUUUCAGCGGGGAGGAAGGUGUUGAGGUUAAUAACCUCAGCAAUUGACGUUACCCGCAGAAGAAGCACCGGCUAACUCCGUGCCAGCCGCCGCCGUAA
This 504-nucleotide ribosomal RNA is filed under the name uncultured bacterium. RNAcentral's name for it is "partial 16S ribosomal RNA". It matches the Rfam family "Bacterial small subunit ribosomal RNA", at positions 30 to 523 of the family's 1533-position model. The record is from RNAcentral.